AGAGUUUGAUCCUGGCUCAGUGACGAACGCUGGCGGCGUGCUUAACACAUGCAAGUCACGGGGGCCCGCAAGGGUAACCGGCGAACGGGUGCGUAACACGUGAGCAAUCUGCCUAGAUCUGGGGGAUAGCCGGCCCAACGGCCGGGUAAUACCGCAUACGCUUGCCGGGUGGCAUCACCUGGCAAGGAAACCUCCGGGGGAUCUAGAGGAGCUCGCUGGCCUAUCAGCUAGUUGGUGGGGUCACGGCCCACCAAGGCGACGACGGGUAGCUGGUCUGAGAGGAUGGCCAGCCACAUUGGGACUGAGAUACGGCCCAGACUCCUACGGGAGGCAGCAGUGGGGAAUAUUGCGCACAUGUGCCUGCAAUGGCUGACGCAGCUGACGCCGCGUGGGGGAUGAAGCAUUUCGGUGUGUAAACCCCUAUUGCUCGGGACGAACCUCUCCUUUCGAGGAGACUGACGGUACCGGGUGAGGAAGCACCGGCUAACUCCGUGCCAGCAGCCGCGGU
Molecule: ribosomal RNA, 508 nt
Filed under: uncultured bacterium
Lineage: Bacteria
Description: bacterial SSU rRNA
Rfam family: Bacterial small subunit ribosomal RNA
Source: RNAcentral